AGUGGCGCACGGGUGCGUAACGCGUGGGAACCUGCCCUUAGGUUCGGAACAACAGUUAGAAAUGACUGCUAAUACCGGAUAAUGUCUUCGGACCAAAGAUUUAUCGCCUUUGGAUGGGCCCGCGUAAGAUUAGGUAGUUGGUGGGGUAAUGGCCUACCAAGCCGACGAUCUUUAGCUGGUCUGAGAGGAUGAUCAGCCACACUGGGACUGAGACACGGCCCAGACUCCUACGGGAGGCAGCAGUGGGGAAUAUUGGAUAAUGGGCGAAAGCCUGAUCCAGCAAUGCCGCGUGAGUGAUGAAGGCCUUAGGGUUGUAAAGCUCUUUUACCAGGGAUGAUAAUGACAGUACCUGGAGAAUAAGCUCCGGCUAACUCCGUGCCAGCAGCCGCGGUAAUACGGAGGGAGCUAGCGUUGUUCGGAAUUACUGGGCGUAAAGCGCACGUAGGCGGCGACUCAAGUCAGAGGUGAAAGCCCGGGGCUCAACCCCGGAACUGCCUUUGAAACUAGGUUGCUAGAAUCCUGGAGAGGCGAGUGGAAUUCCGAGUGUAGAGGUGAAAUUCGUAGAUAUUCGGAAGAACACCAGUGGCGAAGGCGACUCGCUGGACAGGUAUUGACGCUGACGUGCGAAAGCGUGGGGAGCAAACGGAUUACAUACCCUGGUAGUCCACGCCGUAAACGAUGAUAACUAGCUGUCCGGGUU
Molecule: ribosomal RNA, 700 nt
Filed under: uncultured bacterium
Lineage: Bacteria
Description: bacterial SSU rRNA
Rfam family: Bacterial small subunit ribosomal RNA
Source: RNAcentral